Molecule: ribosomal RNA, 790 nt
Filed under: uncultured bacterium
Lineage: Bacteria
Description: bacterial SSU rRNA
Rfam family: Bacterial small subunit ribosomal RNA
Source: RNAcentral
UGAAGUUAAAGGCUGUGGNUCAACCAUAGUUCGCUUUGGAAACUGUCAAACUUGAGUGCAGAAGGGGAGAGUGGAAUUCCAUGUGUAUCGGUGAAAUGCGUAGAUAUAUGGAGGANCACCGGUGGCGAAAGCGGCUCUCUGGUCUGUAACUGACGCUGAGGCUCGAAAGCGUGGGGAGCGAACAGGAUUAGAUACCCUGGUAGUNCACGCCGUAAACGAUGAGUGCUAGGUGUUGGAUCCUUUCCGGGAUUCAGUGCCGCAGCUAACGCAUUAAGCACUCCGCCUGGGGAGUACGACCGCAAGGUUGAAACUCAAAGGAAUUGACGGGGGCCCGCACAAGCGGUGGAGCAUGUGGUUUAAUUCGAAGCAACGCGAAGAACCUUACCAGGUCUUGACAUCCCGAUGCUAUUUCUAGAGAUAGGAAGUUACUUCGGUACAUCGGUGACAGGUGGUGCAUGGUUGUCGUCAGCUCGUGUCGUGAGAUGUUGNNNNAANNNNNGCAACGAGCGCAACCCCUAUUGUUAGUUGCCAUCAUUCAGUUGGGCACUCUAGCGAGACUGCCGGUAAUAAACCGGAGGAAGGUGGGGAUGACGUCAAAUCAUCAUGCCCCUUAUGACCUGGGCUACACACGUGCUACAAUGGUUGGUACAACGAGUUGCGAGUCGGUGACGGCGAGCUAAUCUCUUAAAGCCAAUCUCAGUUCGGAUUGUAGGCUGCAACUCGCCUACAUGAAGUCGGAAUCGCUAGUAAUCGCGGAUCAGCACGCCGCGGUGAAUACGUUCCCGGGCCU